AGAGUUUGAUCCUGGCUCAGGACGAACGCUGGCGGCGUGCCUAAUACAUGCAAGUGGAGCGACGAACCAGGGCUUGCCCUGGGGGCAAAGCCGCGAACGGGUGAGUAACACGUGGGUAACCUGCCCUGAUGAUUGGGACAACCCGAGGAAACUCGGGCUAAUACCAAAUGUGCUCUUCGGUCUUAAGGUCGUUGAGGAAAGGUAGCUUCGGCUAACCGCAUCAGGAUGGGCCCGCGGCCCAUUAGCUUGUUGGUGAGGUAACGGCUCACCAAGGCUCCGAUGGGUAGCUGGUCUGAGAGGACGAUCAGCCACACUGGGACUGAGACACGGCCCAGACUCCUACGGGAGGCAGCAGUAGGGAAUCUUGCGCAAUGCGCGAAAGCGUGACGCAGCAACGCCGCGUGGAGGAAGACGGUCUUCGGAUUGUAAACUCCUUUCAGUUGGGACGAAGCUUCGGUGUUGAAUAGACAUUCGGAGUGACGGUACCUUCAGAAGAAGCCCCGGCUAACUACGUGCCAGCAGCCGCGGUAAUACGUAGGGGGCGAGCGUUGUCCGGAAUCAUUGGGCGUAAAGCGCGUGUAGGCGGCUCGGUAAGUCUGCUGUGAAAGUCCAGGGCUCAACCCUGGAAUGCCGGUGGAUACUGUCGAGCUCGAGUCCGGAAGAGGCGAGUGGAAUUCCUGGUGUAGCGGUGAAAUGCGCAGAUAUCAGGAGGAACACCAAUGGCGAAGGCAGCUCGCUGGGACGUGACUGACGCUGAGACGCGAAAGC
This 768-nucleotide ribosomal RNA is filed under the name uncultured bacterium. RNAcentral describes it as "bacterial SSU rRNA". It matches the Rfam family "Bacterial small subunit ribosomal RNA", at positions 8 to 760 of the family's 1533-position model. The record is from RNAcentral.